This 492-nucleotide ribosomal RNA is filed under the name uncultured bacterium. RNAcentral describes it as "partial 16S ribosomal RNA". It matches the Rfam family "Bacterial small subunit ribosomal RNA", at positions 29 to 507 of the family's 1533-position model. The record is from RNAcentral.
AGUGAACGCUGGCGGUAGGCCUAACACAUGCAAGUCGAACGGCAGCACAGUAAGAGCUUGCUCUUACGGGUGGCGAGUGGCGGACGGGUGAGGAAUACAUCGGAAUCUACUUUUUCGUGGGGGAUAACGUAGGGAAACUUACGCUAAUACCGCAUACGACCUAAGGGUGAAAGCAGGGGAUCUUCGGACCUUGCGCGAUUGAAUGAGCCGAUGUCGGAUUAGCUAGUUGGCGGGGUAAAGGCCCACCAAGGCGACGAUCCGUAGCUGGUCUGAGAGGAUGAUCAGCCACACUGGAACUGAGACACGGUCCAGACUCCUACGGGAGGCAGCAGUGGGGAAUAUUGGACAAUGGGCGCAAGCCUGAUCCAGCCAUACCGCGUGGGUGAAGAAGGCCUUCGGGUUGUAAAGCCCUUUUGUUGGGAAAGAAAAGCAGCAGGUUAAUACCCCGCUGUUCUGACGGUACCCAAAGAAUAAGCACCGGCUAACCUCGUG